CUCAAAAUGCUCCUGCCUUUGCCUCGAUAGUUCUGAAUGCAAUUUAUUUUUAAGAUUUUGAUCUGCUCUUUCACCAACAGACUCACAGGAGAAAGAUGAGGCAAGGUGCAGUAGCAGCUCCUUCUAUCUGGAAUAGAUAAUCAAUAUAAUUCUUAGAGCAAGGAGAAGAACACACUUUCCAGUCCAACAGGAAUGAGAAAAUAAUGAACAGGAAAACCACAUCAAGCUAAAAAUGUUUUAUGCAUGCAGCGGCAUUCCAAGGAGAAGAUUACUUAAGGAUAAAAAUGUUAUCUGUGUCUCAAGACAUGGUCCAUCUUCCAAUGGAGACCCAAGAGAGCAAAAGAAAAAUGUCAGCAAACUAAGAACUGGCAAUGGACCAGGAAAAGAAGUUAAAAUGCUUCAUAAAAUAAAAAGACGUAAUUGUUUUCUUCCUUGAUUGCCUCUGCAGUCUCCAGUCGCAUGCAUUUCUCUACCUUCGCCACGUUAUGUGCAGGCUGGCAGGGAGCGAUCGGCACCUGGGAGGACGCAACCAAAGACCUGAGGGGCAGAUUUGGCUGGGGCUUGGAUGCCCAAAUAAAGGUUCAACUUUUAGGCCA
Molecule: long non-coding RNA, 596 nt
Filed under: Dromaius novaehollandiae (emu)
Lineage: Eukaryota; Metazoa; Chordata; Aves; Casuariiformes; Dromaiidae
Description: lncRNA (ENSDNVG00000015689.1)
Source: RNAcentral